UUUAUGUUGAAGGCUGUUGCAAAUAUACCAAAGGGAAAAGCCCCAAUUCCAAAGGACAUCUGGAAGCCACCAUCACCAAACCCAAAGCCCUGGAAUCCCUGCAGAGAACAAAGAACAGAAGACAAAACAGGUUGUUCUGAAAAAUGACUGGCCUUCACUACAUCCAAGAAGCAAGAGUGGCAGCAGAUGAACAGCUAAGAAACAAGGAACUCAUUUGCAAGUAGGCUUCCUAAAUAAAUACAGAAACCUGGUGGAGCAUGAAGACAUGGAAGUGGAGGUACCUGAGAGGGUGGAACUCCAAAAGGAGCUGGAUGACAGCCAAGAGCACAGGAGGUCCACGACAGGAGUAAGUGCAGGGGCCUGGGAAUGUCCAUGUGCUGGGUAAAGAUCUCACUAACAGCCAGUAAAAAAGAAAUUUUCCUCUAAUAUUUUAAAAACUUCAUCUGUAAAUCUACUGCUCACUAGGAAAGCAGGAGCUGAGUGGCUACUGUCAAAGAUCACACUUCUGAACUCAGCCAAUGACUGCCUUUGCCAAAGUACACUGCCCAGCCCUCAAAACACAGGAAAAACACUUCAGGACAGGCUGGAGGAGUUUUCACCAUAAGUUAAGGUAGACAAAAAAAAUCUGCUGGAAACAGCAGGUGAACAUUAAUUCAACCUGGGAAAGGCAAAGAGGGAGUAUAAAUUAGAAGCUAAUUUCACCUAUACAAAACAGUCCUGGAAUACAUGUUCACAGCAUGCCAUUAGGAUGUCUCAAGUAUUUAAUUUUUUCCAUGAACAAUGAGAAAAAGUUCUGGUGAGGAUAUAGAAGUCUGGUUAGUUUAUUAACAAAACCCAAAGUUUGUUCCUCUUUGCCAUAACAGUGAAAUAAAAAGAGCAGCACUGUAGGAUGUCAAUUCCACAGGAAAGACCCUUUUCCAUAUUUCUUUCCUAAUGAAUUUUAUUUUAGCUAAGAUUACUGAAAUUUAAAUAAUCCAAAUCUAGAUUGUUUAUGAAACAAGUUCUGAUUUAGUUCCUGAACCUUUCACAGUUUCAAUCAAAAAGAAGAUUUGCCAGUGUAUUUUUCUUAUCCCUAAGGUAAUAGUCUCAUUUUCUGACACUUAAAAGUAUUUACAAAAGGAAUAUUCACAUUAGAAAAUCAAUUUAAAUCUAAAACUACUACUGAGAGUUUAUAUAAAUAUGCCCACUCCUAAGUUUAAUAACAAUCUUGAUACUUAACAUAUUACAAUUGCCUGGGCUUCAAGUACAACCAGGUAAUCUUAGCUGAAAACUGCUGACAGUGUCUAGAAGAAAGUACACUGACUUCUUGACAGUCGUUUUAGAUAUUUUUAACAAACACAUGACUGUCCUGUUGUUAAUCAUUAAAUACAUAUUUAUCUCUCACUACCUUUUUACUCUUCUCUGUCCCCCAAACAUGUUACAUUUUAACUCCUUGGAAACACUUCUCAAGUUCAUCUUUCCACUUCCUGUAACCUGUACAGCAUUGGGCACCUGUUUCUUGAUAUCACCACAAAGUGGUCUCAAAAUAUGAAUUCCUGUGCUGACUUGCUCUUGCAAAAGCAGCCAUUUGCCUUCCAGCCUUGCCUGGCCUGGUUUCAUGACCUGGGAUUCUGCAAUGCACAUCUGUGUUACAGUCAGGGCUGCCAGGGCAAGGGCCCAGCUCAAGGAACACCGAGGAGUCCGUGUCCCUCGUAAAUGCAAACAGUAAAAACCUUGUGGCGAUUGAA
Long non-coding RNA from Haemorhous mexicanus (house finch), 1727 nucleotides. RefSeq lists it as uncharacterized. The record is from RefSeq and is a predicted model, not a curated record. The transcript has 2 exons. NCBI's taxonomy places the organism in Eukaryota, Metazoa, Chordata, Aves, Passeriformes, Fringillidae.